GCACAGUCUGGUUUUAUUUAUGUUCACAGAGAAGCUCUGUGAGCACAUAGAGUUAUUUUUCCCUGCAUUGUUCAGCACCCCUUCCCCGGGCUGAGUACUUCUGGCAAGAUACUUGAUAUUUCUACAUGAGAAAGGGAAAUUAAGCUUUCUUCCUUCUCUCCCUCCUAACCUACUGACCUGCUUUACCUGCUUCUUUCUGACUUCAGGACCCUACCAAAAGAUAUUGUUGUUUGUCCUUCCUUCUCGAAGAGGACCAUGAUAUCAGGAAGAUGAUGCCAUGACUUGCAA
Molecule: long non-coding RNA, 288 nt
Organism: Phascolarctos cinereus (koala)
Lineage: Eukaryota; Metazoa; Chordata; Mammalia; Diprotodontia; Phascolarctidae
Source: RefSeq, a predicted model, not a curated record